RNAcentral lists this ribosomal RNA (433 nucleotides) under uncultured bacterium. RNAcentral describes it as "partial 16S ribosomal RNA". It matches the Rfam family "Bacterial small subunit ribosomal RNA", at positions 29 to 507 of the family's 1533-position model. The record is from RNAcentral.
AACGAACGCUGGCGGCAUGCCUAACACAUGCAAGUCGAACGAGACCUUCGGGUCUAGUGGCGCACGGGUGCGUAACGCGUGGGAACCCGCCCUUAGGUUCGGAAUAACUCCCCGAAAGGGGUGCUAAUACCGGAUAAUGUCUUCGGACCAAAGAUUUAUCGCCUGUGGAUGGGCCCGCGUUGGAUUAGCUAGUUGGUAGGGUAAAAGCCUACCAAGGCGACGAUCCAUAGCUGGUCUGAGAGGAUGAUCAGCCACACUGGGACUGAGACACGGCCCAGACUCCUACGGGAGGCAGCAGUGGGGAAUAUUGGACAAUGGGCGAAAGCCUGAUCCAGCAAUGCCGCGUGAGUGAUGAAGGCCUUAGGGUUGUAAAGCUCUUUUACCCGGGAUGAUAAUGACAGUACCGGGAGAAUAAGCUCCGGCUAACUCCGUG